This 479-nucleotide ribosomal RNA is filed under the name uncultured bacterium. RNAcentral's name for it is "partial 16S ribosomal RNA". It matches the Rfam family "Bacterial small subunit ribosomal RNA", at positions 28 to 507 of the family's 1533-position model. The record is from RNAcentral.
GAUGAACGCUGGCGGCGUGCUUAACACAUGCGAGUCGAACGAAGCACUUAAGAUUGAUUCUUCGGAUGACGUCUUUUGUGACUUAGUGGCGGACGGGUGAGUAACGCGUGGGUAACCUGCCUCACACAGGGGGAUAACAGUUAGAAAUGACUGCUAAUACCGCAUAACCCGAUAGGAUCGCAUGAUCCAGACGGAAAAGAUUUAUCGGUGUGAGAUGGACCCGCGUCUGAUUAGCUAGUUGGUGAGGUAACGGCCCACCAAAGCGACGAUCAGUAGCCGGCCAGAGGAGGGCAACCGCCACAUUGGGGCCGGGACACGGCCCAAACUCCUACGGGAGGCAGCAGUGGGGAAUAUUGCACAAUGGGGGAAACCCUGAUGCAGCGACGCCGCGUGAGUGAAGAAGUAUUUCGGUAUGUAAAGCUCUAUCAGCAGGGAAGAAAAUGACGGUACCUGACUAAGAAGCCCCGGCUAACUACGUG